CUGUACCUUGAUUGUAAGUUGCUUUGGAUAAAAGCAUCUGCUAAUUGGCUAAAA
Larimichthys crocea (large yellow croaker) is the source of this 54-nucleotide non-coding RNA. The record is from Rfam. NCBI's taxonomy places the organism in Eukaryota, Metazoa, Chordata, Actinopteri, Sciaenidae.